ACGGGUGAGUAGCACGUAGGUAAUCUACCUUUGGAUGGGGAAUAACACCGAGAAAUCGGUGCUAAUACCGCAUAAUGCAGCGGCACCUAAUGGUGACAGUUGUUAAAGCGGGGGAUCGAAAGACCUCGCGUCUGAAGAGGAGCCUGCGGCAGAUUAGCUAGUUGGUAAGGUAACGGCUUACCAAGGCGAUGAUCUGUAGCCGGCCUGAGAGGGCGGUCGGCCACACUGACACUGACAUACGGGUCAGACUCCUACGGGAGGCAGCAGUCGGGAAUUUUGGGCAAUGGGCGAAAGCCUGACCCAGCAACGCCGCGUGAAGGAUGAAAUCCCUCGGGAUGUAAACUUCGCAAGAACGGGAAGAAUAAGUCGGUGUUAACAUCACCGACGAUGACGGUACAGUUUGUAAGCUCCGGCUAACUCCGUGCCAGCAGCCGCGGUAAUACGGGGGGAGCAAGCGUUGUUCGGAUUUACUGGGCGUAAAGGGCGCGUAGGCGGCCACCGCAAGUCGACUGUGAAAUCUCCGGGCUUAACUCGGAAAGGUCAGCCGAUACUGCGGGGCUAGAGUGCAGAAGGGGCAACUGGAA
This 584-nucleotide ribosomal RNA is filed under the name uncultured bacterium. RNAcentral's name for it is "bacterial SSU rRNA". It matches the Rfam family "Bacterial small subunit ribosomal RNA", at positions 102 to 666 of the family's 1533-position model. The record is from RNAcentral.